AUUUAAGACGACAUGAUUCAAGUAAUUUUAGUUUACAAUUUGUAACAUCCCAUCCUCCAGAACACCGUAGUCCAACCCAUCCAACUGACGCGCCCAUUUACAAAGAUCACCUUACUCACACUUACGUUGUCGCUUCGUGUAAAAUAGACAAAUGGUUGGAGGGACGAUGCCUUAGGACAUGAGCAAUGUAUAUUGCACAAUCAGUCCUUAUUGUGGGCCCUAGGUGGGUCCCACUGAGAUAUAUUUCAUCUUCACAAUGUAUAUUGGAGAAAGGAGGUUUUAAGGUGGACCCCACAAUUAUUACCAUUCCAACCAUCCUACUCUCCCUCAGUCACCAGAAUUUUCCCCACCCCACUGAGGCAUCGAUGAAAAUAGCGGUAGCUCGCGCGAGUGGAGCCAUGGCGACGGUGGUGGCACUCGCUUGUGGCAACGGCGGCAGUGGUCGCGUGCAGCGGCCCAUAGAAUUCGCAGCAGAGGCCGCGGAGCUCGCGGGUAUACACGGAGUCGACAACGGCGUUUGCGGGCACGGAUGGAUCCGGCGGCGGCAAUGAUGAAGCUCGCGGGUAGAUCUAGCUACGAGACUCAUGGGCGUGGAUGGAUCCGGCGGCGGCACACAUGGGCACAGGUGGAUCCGACGGCGGCGGAGCUCGUGAGAGGACUUCGGCUGCAACGGUGCUCGUGGGUGGGCGUGAGUGGAUCCGGCGACGACGCUCGCGGGCGCGGGUGUAUCCGGCGGCAGCAGGAAUACUCGCCACCAUCUCCCGGCGGUUCUUCAGCAAAUCUAUCCAGGUGUAUUCUUCCCUUCUCCCAUGGAGGCAAGCAACUGAAUUAGAGAGAGAUGGGCUAGCAGUACCAUAGCAGAGAGAAGAACGAAUGUUUUAUUGCUUAUAGCCGGUCCUUAGCCAAUAAACAAUCCCGAACAAAUUAUUUAUAAACGCAGAUUUAUAAGAGUAAAAAAUAGUUUUCUUGAAAAAUCCAAUACAUAAAUAUUCGUAACAAAAUGUCAAACACCAAAUAAAUUUAGUUACCUUCCUACUUUACAUAGAAUGAGCGAUCAUAUUCGACGACCAAAAUGCAACCGGCCGGCUGCCGGCACGCGCCUAGUCUCGUGACGUACGUUGUCGUCACACGUGGUCAUGUAGAAUUUUUAUUGUUGGAUUUAUUAUGGGGUAUUUUGAGUUUCUUGCCGGCACUCAUAACCUCUGGUAGACUUACUAUUGGAUAAUUUGAAUAUCCUUGAUACAUUGAUGUUGCUACAAGGAUGUCGACGUCUCAACAUGAUCUUAUUAUAUACUAGCGCGCCGGUAGUCUCUAUGACCAACAAAUUACCCCACUCCUCGGCCAUUGACCUCUCCCUAGUCUUCCUCUCGACUCGCGAGAAUUAUGACGCCUCCACUUCACCAGCACAGUAUCCGUGAGUUGAAAGCUCAAUCUGUGACCAAGCUCAAUCCGUGAGUUGAUUUCAAUUUUUGUCAAAAUGCUGCCGAAAUUUUAUCAAAAUUCCGUCAAAUUCAAAUUUUGUCCAAAUUGUAAUGUCAAAAUCUGUCCAAAUCUGUCAUUUAAUUUUAAACAUAUUCAAAAAAUAAAAAGUAAAU
Molecule: non-coding RNA, 1595 nt
Organism: Oryza sativa Japonica Group (Japanese rice)
Lineage: Eukaryota; Viridiplantae; Streptophyta; Magnoliopsida; Poales; Poaceae
Source: RefSeq, a predicted model, not a curated record